UAAAUUGCAUUUCAGACUCACCUCUGAGCAUUUGAAUAGUGUAUGAGAAGAAGAGACGUAGACAGAAAUGGCCAAUCAACGUCCCCCACCCAUACACAGGGAGAGACACUUGGAUGGGAGGGCAGCACAUCUUCAUUUUCGGGACACG
Molecule: non-coding RNA, 148 nt
Organism: Caenorhabditis elegans
Lineage: Eukaryota; Metazoa; Nematoda; Chromadorea; Rhabditida; Rhabditidae
Source: Ensembl